GUACACGCUGUGACUAGCAUAUCAAUAAGCGGAGGAAAAGAAACUAACAAGGAUUCCCCUAGUAACGGCGAGUGAAGCGGGAAGAGCUCAAAUUUGAAAUCUUAAAGGGUUUCCCUUUACGAAUUGUAGUUUAAAGAAGUGUUUUCUGUUGAGGUUUUGGUAAAAGUUCUUUGGAAUAGGACAUCAUAGAGGGUGAGAAUCCCGUAUUUGACCUUUACUUUCAACUUUGUGAUACACUUUCAAAGAGUCGGAUUGUUUGGGAAUGCAGUCCAAAAUGGGUGGUAAAUUUCAUCUAAAGCUAAAUAUUGGCGAGAGACCGAUAGCGAACAAGUACCGUGAGGGAAAGAUGAAAAGAACCUUGAAAAGAGAGUUAAACAGUACGUGAAAUUGUCAAAAGGGAAGCGUUUGACACCAGUGUUGUUUUUCUGAAAAUCAAUUAAAGAACUGUUUAUGCUAAGCUGUUUAGACUUUAUCAGCUAUCUGUUUAGUUUUGAGCUUUUCUUUAAUGCACUUUUCAGUUAACAAGUCAACAUCAAUUUCUUUUGCUGUAAAAAAGCUUGAGGAAGGUGGCUUGAGAUUCGUCUUAAGUGUUUAUAGCCUCUUGCCUAUGCAGUCGGAGAGAUUGAGGUCUGCAGCGUAGAUCCUUCGGGGCUAAAUGCAUUUGUGCUAAGUUAUAGCAUUUUAUAGACAACUUGUUGACUAUGAUUUGUCUUGUAGCUUACUCGCUUAUGUUAUUUUACCUACGCUUAGGAUGUUGACUGAUAUGUAGUCGUA
RNAcentral lists this ribosomal RNA (774 nucleotides) under uncultured Neocallimastigales. Its description in RNAcentral is "partial large subunit ribosomal RNA". It matches the Rfam family "Eukaryotic large subunit ribosomal RNA", at positions 22 to 644 of the family's 3401-position model. The record is from RNAcentral. Lineage: Eukaryota; Fungi; Neocallimastigomycota; Neocallimastigomycetes; Neocallimastigales.